AUGGAGAUAGAUAUAGAAAU
Molecule: microRNA, 20 nt
Filed under: Homo sapiens (human)
Lineage: Eukaryota; Metazoa; Chordata; Mammalia; Primates; Hominidae
Description: hsa-miR-620
Gene: hsa-miR-620
Source: miRBase by way of RNAcentral